UACGGAAGUGGCAAGCGUUAUCCGGAAUUAUUGGGCGUAAAGCGUCCGCAGGCGGUCUUUUAAGUCUGCUGUUAAAGCGUGGAGCUUAACUCCAUUUCGGCAGUGGAAACUGGAAGACUAGAGUGUGGUAGGGGCAGAGGGAAUUCCCGGUGUAGCGGUGAAAUGCGUAGAUAUCGGGAAGAACACCAGUGGCGAAGGCGCUCUGCUGGGCCAUAACUGACGCUCAUGGACGAAAGCCAGGGGAGCGAAAGGGAUUAGAUACCCCUGUAGUCCUGGCCGUAAACGAUGAACACUAGGUGUCGGGGGAAUCGACCCCCUCGGUGUCGUACGCCAACGCGUUAAGUGUUCCGCCUGGGGAGUACGCACGCAAGUGUGAAACUCAAAGGAAUUGACGGGGGCCCGCACAAGCGGUGGAGUAUGUGGUUUAAUUCGAUGCAACGCGAAGAACCUUACCAGGGUUCGACAUCCUGCGAAUCCCUUGGAAACGAGGGAGUGCCUUCGGGAACGCAGUGACAGGUGGUGCAUGGCUGUCGUCAGCUCGUGUCGUGAGAUGUUGGGUUAAGUCCCGCAACGAGCGCAACCCACGUCGUUAGUUGCCAGCAUUCAGUUGGGCACUCUAGCGAGACCGCCGGUGAUAAACCGGAGGAAGGUGUGGAUGACGUCAAGUCAUCAUGCCCCUUACAUCCUGGGCUACACACGUACUACAAUGGUACGGACAAAGGGCAGCAAACUCGCGAGAGCUAGCAAAUCCCAUAAACCGCGGCUCAGUUCAGAUCGUAGGCUGCAACUCGCCUACGUGAAGGAGGAAUCGCUAGUAAUCGCAGGUCAGCAUACUGCGGUGAAUACGUUCCCGGGCCU
RNAcentral lists this ribosomal RNA (858 nucleotides) under uncultured bacterium. RNAcentral's name for it is "SSU rRNA". It matches the Rfam family "Bacterial small subunit ribosomal RNA", at positions 524 to 1381 of the family's 1533-position model. The record is from RNAcentral.